Molecule: ribosomal RNA, 637 nt
Filed under: Naganishia sp.
Lineage: Eukaryota; Fungi; Basidiomycota; Tremellomycetes; Filobasidiales; Filobasidiaceae
Description: LSU rRNA
Rfam family: Eukaryotic large subunit ribosomal RNA
Source: RNAcentral
UGCAUAUCAAUAAGCGGAGGAAAAGAAACUAACAAGGAUUCCCCUAGUAACGGCGAGUGAAGCGGGAAGAGCUCAAAUUUGAAAUCUGGCGGCAUCCUGUCGUCCGAGUUGUAAUCUAUAGAAGUGUUUUCCGCGUCGGACCAUGUACAAGUCCCUUGGAACAGGGCGUCAUAGAGGGUGAGAAUCCCGUCCUUGACAUGAUCUCCGGUGCUAUGUGAUACACUUUCAACGAGUCGAGUUGUUUGGGAAUGCAGCUCAAAAUGGGUGGUGAAUUCCAUCUAAAGCUAAAUAUUGGCGAGAGACCGAUAGCGAACAAGUACCGUGAGGGAAAGAUGAAAAGCACUUUGGAAAGAGAGUUAAACAGUACGUGAAAUUGUUGAAAGGGAAACGAUUGAAGUCAGUCAUGCUCUUUGGGUUAAGCCUUUCGGGGUGUAUUCCAUUGAGUGGGGUCAACAUCAGUUUUGACCGCUGGAAAAAGGCACGAGGAAGGUAGCACUCUCGGGUGAACUUAUAGCCUCGCGUCAUAUACAGUGGUUGGGACUGAGGAACGCAGCAUGCCUUAUGGCCGGGAUUCGUCCACGUACAUGCUUAGGAUGUUGACAUAAUGGCUUUAAACGACCCGUCUUGAAACACGGAC